Molecule: transfer RNA, 69 nt
Filed under: Rattus norvegicus (Norway rat)
Lineage: Eukaryota; Metazoa; Chordata; Mammalia; Rodentia; Muridae
Rfam family: tRNA
About the family: Transfer RNA (tRNA) molecules are approximately 80 nucleotides in length. Their secondary structure includes four short double-helical elements and three loops (D, anti-codon, and T loops). Further hydrogen bonds mediate the characteristic L-shaped molecular structure. tRNAs have two regions of fundamental functional importance: the anti-codon, which is responsible for specific mRNA codon recognition, and the 3' end, to which the tRNAs corresponding amino acid is attached (by aminoacyl-tRNA synthetases). tRNAs cope with the degeneracy of the genetic code in two manners: having more than one tRNA (with a specific anti-codon) for a particular amino acid; and 'wobble' base-pairing, i.e. permitting non-standard base-pairing at the 3rd anti-codon position.
Source: Rfam by way of RNAcentral
GGGGAUUUAGCUCAGCGGUAGAGCGCUUGCUUAGCAAGCACAAGACCCUGGGUUCGGUCCCCAGCUCCG